GGGUGUGAGGAUGGUCCUGCUGGGGACACCAGGCGCCUGUCAAUUGCCUGGGUUGAUUUUGCUGAUCUAACCAGCAGGCUAGGUGGCUGGCCUCCCUCCUCCCAUUCCACACAUGUUCUUCCUGGUGCUGUACACCAAGUCAGAGAGAAGGGGAGCCUUCCCGGGUAGAGCAUCAUUCUUUAGCCAAGGGUGUGUGACGACUUUGUCUGUUAUCUGGCAUUCUAAGGGAGUAUAGUGCUCUGGUUA
Molecule: small nuclear RNA, 246 nt
Filed under: Prolemur simus (greater bamboo lemur)
Lineage: Eukaryota; Metazoa; Chordata; Mammalia; Primates; Lemuridae
Description: 7SK RNA (ENSPSMG00000023817.1)
Rfam family: 7SK RNA (bases 1-200)
About the family: 7SK was discovered as an abundant small nuclear RNA in the mid-70s but a possible function has only recently been suggested. Two independent studies have found that 7SK RNA binds the CDK9/cyclin T complex (known as elongation factor P-TEFb).
Source: RNAcentral